Long non-coding RNA from Etheostoma spectabile (orangethroat darter), 920 nucleotides. RefSeq lists it as uncharacterized. The transcript has 3 exons. The record is from RefSeq and is a predicted model, not a curated record. NCBI's taxonomy places the organism in Eukaryota, Metazoa, Chordata, Actinopteri, Perciformes, Percidae.
AUGCCUCCGUCCAGUGGCUGCCGCUGAGGAAGCAUUAAAUGCAUCCAGAAACACUGUAGGCUACUCAGACGUCGCGCUCCCUAUUCCACAUUCUGUGUCACACAUUUUGUGGGAACAGAAUGAAAAACUCAUAUAUCUGGGGUUAUGACCUUAGAUACUCUACUACUGCACUGUUGUUAAUCCUGCAUUUCUUCUCCCCACAUCCGAUGACAGAGAGGAACAGUUAUGUUGCACAGCUACAGGUGGUCUGUAUACCACGGCCUGACCUCUUUAACACACCUCUCACUAGCCCUGAUUUAAUUGUUUAUGUUUACAGUUCUGCUUCCAGAGACUCUGACACUGACCUGAACCAUGUGGGUUUCUCCGUUGUACCUGAUCCUGUUGUUGUUGAUUUGGACCUCUGCCAACUCAUCUCUCAGUACAAGCAGUGGAGCUCAUUCACUAACAGAAGGCUACCCAGCCAUUUCUUUCCUCAUUUUCAAAAGUUGACACAUGGGUUGGACCAUGUGUAAAAAGGGGGAUUGAUCAGUAUGGAAAAACAAUUGAGGGACAAACAAUUGUUUCAAAGUUAUGAAACAACAUUGGUUCACAAGAAUACUGUCAGGCAUGUGUCAUGUCAAAACACAUGCCUGAUUGUGUAGUAGCCAAAGCCCUACUCACUGAAAUAAUUCCAAAAUGGAGACUUCCAACCAAAAUCUCAAGUAUAGUGGUUUGCAUUCAAAGUGCAACAUGCCUACCCUUGACAGAAGCUCUGCCUAUUGUACUGAUGCAAAUGAGAAUGUGCACGCGCGAGCGACUUAACCUGUCACCCUUUUUUUUUUUUAAGCACCUCCACACAUUGGACUUGGGCCAAGAGGACACCCACCGGACACACUGUCGUGUGAGGACCAACUGGUAAUAUAUUAUAUCUCACUUCAAAA